GCCUCGCUUGCGGCGUUAGCUUUCAGUGGUGCCAGCCCUGAAGCCCGAGGUCGACCUCAUGUACGGGAAGAUUACAGAAGAUGGAUUACCAGGAAGACCACACCCGGAUCCCAGUCCCAGACAUCAGGGGUCAUACUGACAUCCUUUGCCUUCACUUCCAAAACGGGUUAAAGCUCUUUCUUGCUUUCAAAUACGCUAUGAAGCAACAUUUGAGGACAGCAGGUGCCGGCAGGAGCUGACGCUGAAAUCUUCUCUUCAUGGCUUAAUGUGGAAUUGCAGAUCUCACCUGCCCCAGGACUCUCUGGG
This is a long non-coding RNA of Diceros bicornis minor, 306 nucleotides long. RefSeq lists it as uncharacterized. The record is from RefSeq and is a predicted model, not a curated record. Lineage: Eukaryota; Metazoa; Chordata; Mammalia; Perissodactyla; Rhinocerotidae. The transcript has 3 exons.